Molecule: ribosomal RNA, 440 nt
Filed under: uncultured bacterium
Lineage: Bacteria
Description: partial 16S ribosomal RNA
Rfam family: Bacterial small subunit ribosomal RNA
Source: RNAcentral
CCUACGGGAGGCAGCAGUGGGGAAUAUUGCACAAUGGGCGAAACCCUGAAGCAGCGACGCCGCGUGAGUGAAGAAGUAUUUCGGUAUGUAAAGCUUUAUCAGCAGGGAAGAAAAUGACGGUACCUGAUUAAGAAGCCCCGGCCCACUACGUGCCAGCAGCCGCGGCAAUACGGAGGGGGCAAGCGUAAUCCGGAGUUACUGGGGGUAAAGGGAGUGUAGACGGGAGCACAAGUCUGGAGGUAAAUGCCGGGGCUUAAGCCCGGAAGUGCUUGGGAAACUGGGCAGCUAGAGUGCAGGAGAGGUAAGUGGAAUUCGUGGUGUAGCGGUGAAAUGCUUAGAUAUCAGGAAGAACUCAGGUGGCGAGGGCGGCAUACUGGCGUGCAACGGACGUUGAGGCUCGAAAGUGUGGGGAUCAAACAGGAUUAGAUACCCGGGUAGUC